Mycena belliarum is the source of this 89-nucleotide non-coding RNA. NCBI's taxonomy places the organism in Eukaryota, Fungi, Basidiomycota, Agaricomycetes, Agaricales, Mycenaceae. The record is from the annotation of a GenBank genome assembly.
GCUCUGAUGGUCUAGUAGAAUGAUACGUGCUUUGGGCGUGCGAAAGUUUGCUGUGCACGGGGUCCCGGGUUCAAAUCCCGGUCAGGGUC